Molecule: long non-coding RNA, 228 nt
Filed under: Capra hircus (goat)
Lineage: Eukaryota; Metazoa; Chordata; Mammalia; Artiodactyla; Bovidae
Description: lncRNA (ENSCHIG00000001587.1)
Source: RNAcentral
CGGGUGUGAAAUCCGCCCAGACUCUGCUCUGUGACUGAUGGAAACCCACAGGCUUCCUGUAAUACACUGGGAUCAGGAUGGUUCUCAGUUGAAGUCUUCUCUUUGGAGGCCAAGGAUACCAAAUUCGCUCACAACUCAUAGAAGUAACCUUUCAGAAUUGUAUCUAUGUGUGACAGGGAUCGUAUAUUUUUAUUUAAAUUAAUAAACAAAGUUUAUGCCUUAAGAAUG